UACGAAGGGGGCUAGCGUUGUUCGGAAUUACUGGGCGUAAAGCGCGCGUAGGCGGACGCUUAAGUCAGGGGUGAAAUCCCGGGGCUCAACCCCGGAACCGCCUUUGAUACUGGGCGUCUGGAGUCCGGAAGAGGUUGGCGGAAUUCCGAGUGUAGAGGUGAAAUUCGUAGAUAUUCGGAGGAACACCAGAGGCGAAGGCGGCCAACUGGUCCGGUACUGACGCCGAGGCGCGAAAGCGUGGGGAGCAAACAGG
Molecule: ribosomal RNA, 253 nt
Filed under: uncultured bacterium
Lineage: Bacteria
Description: partial 16S ribosomal RNA
Rfam family: Bacterial small subunit ribosomal RNA
Source: RNAcentral